Molecule: long non-coding RNA, 4830 nt
Filed under: Marmota monax (woodchuck)
Lineage: Eukaryota; Metazoa; Chordata; Mammalia; Rodentia; Sciuridae
Source: RNAcentral
CUUUGUUGUCUUUUUGGUCUUCGCAUCCUGUAAUUUUUCCAAAAAUGACAAGAAAAACACCUAUCAUGAAUGCUCCAAAUAUAUUCACUGAUGGGUCAAAUAAUGGUACAGCAGCAGUAGUUACCCCUGAUCAAACUUUUACAUUUUUAGUACCCAAACAAUCAGCUCAAAAGGUAGAGCUUAAUGCAGUUUUACAAGCUUUUGUGAUGUUUAAAGAUUCUGUAUUUAAUUUAUUUUCUGAUAGUCAGUAUGUAGUUAAUGCUAUAGUAUCUCUUGAAGAUGCUGGUAGGAUUUCCCCUUCUUCUACUGUUUUCUCUUUGCUUUCCACUAUACAAAGUCUAAUCUGGGACAGAAAAGAUCCAUUCUUUAUAGGACAUAUCAGGGCACAUACAGGAUUGCCUGGAGCCCUUAGUUUGGGCAAUGAUUUAGCAGAUAAAACUACACAUGACAUACAUAUUUUCUCUACACUAGAAGAAGCUAUAAAUUUUCAUAAAAAGUUCCAUGUCAAUGCUAAUACUUUACAAAAGCGUUUUAAAAUAACUAAGGAACAAGCUAGACAAAUAAUAAAACAAUGUCAAAAUUGUGUGACCUUUUUACCACAAGUUAAUCUUGGAGUCAAUCCUAGAGGAUUGAUACCUAACCAUAUUUGGCAGAUGGACGUCACACACUUGCCAGAAUUUGGAAAAUUAAAAUAUUUGCAUGUUACAGUUGAUACUUCUUCUGGAUUUUUGAUGGGCUCCCUUCAUGCCGGAGAAAAAACUAAAGAUGUUAUAGCUCAUUGCUUACAAAACUUUGCCACUGUGGGUGUUCCAAAACAGUUAAAAACAGAUAAUGGCCCUGGCUAUACUUCUACCUAUUUUAAACAAUUUUGCUCAUCAUUUGGCAUUACUCAUAUAACAGGAAUCCCAUACAAUCCACAGGGACAAGGCAUAGUUGAAAGAGCUCAUCAAACUAUUAAAAUGUACUUAUUAAAGCAAAAAGAAGGAAUUGGGAAGGGGUAUAUAUUCCCCAAAGAUAAACUUAAAAUAACCCUUUUUACUCUAAACUUUUUAAAUUUGGAUUCAUCAGGACUUAGUGCUGCGGAAAGGCAUAUGUGUCCAAAAAAUGUGCAUAAGCCCAAGGUACUUUGGAAGGAUAUUCUAACAGGACAAUGGAAAGGUCCUGACCCAGUAAUUGUCUGGAGUCGGGGGUCUGUUUGUGUGUUUCCACAGGGAGAACAGCAGCCGAUUUGGAUUCCAGAGAGAUUAACCAAGGUCCUGACCCAGUGAUUGUCUGGAGUCGGGGGUCUGUUUAUGUGUUUCCACAGGGAGAACAGCAGCCGAUUUGGAUUCCAGAAAGAUUAACUAAAGCGAUUUCUACAGACCAAAAAGAAGAUGAUUUGGCUCAAAUCCAUAACAACUGAUAUCCAAAACUCCAGUUUGGCUAUUCUUACAUCUGCAACAGAACCAGGAUGCUUUUUUCAAUAUCUAUUUUAUUAUUGCCCUUUGCCAUAUCAUGAAGUUCUAUUUUGUUUUUUGAGCUCAUACAGACCUAGGUUAAUGUUUUGCUGAUCAGUUCUAUUUUUUGACUAUAGAGUUUUUAAACAUUGCAAUGGAGAUUUCACCUGUAAAAAGUUAUAAGGCCUUUACUAUAAUGUUAUGUGUUGUAUGUAUUAUAUUAUGUGUGCACACUUGUGUUUUGUGUUAUAUGUUUGAAUGUACGUAUGUCCAUAUAUCAUAUAUGAUGAGCGCUCAUGAUAAAAUGGAUCCAAAUAUUUUUUUUUCACGUGAUUUAUAUGGUUUAAUUUAAAUUGGGUAAACAACUGUUGAGGAUUGUUUUAAUAUGUAAACAAAAAAGAAGGUUAACAGAUCUGUUUGUUUACUUUCACCUUUCCUUUUCAUUAUAUUUAAUAAUUCUCUUAAAGAUAAUGUAAAUUGUUAAGAAANGUCAGCUCAUCGGAUAACGGGUAAGGACCAUAUGUACUAUUGGACAACCUAAGGCAGGCACAGUCCCUAAGCCACAUGCUUGUUGUUUAAACAGAGAGGGGGAGAUGUUGAGAGCCACAGCCGAAGGGGCCCCAGCAAACUUUCAGACUGCCAGCUGAUGAUUGGCUCACAGCACCCCAGCAACAUCUAGCUGAUUGGCUCCUGUGCGGUGAUGCUCAUUGGGCUGUUUCCCUGCCCUUUCAGACCACGGAGCUGCUCACUGGGGGACUUUUUUGGCUCCGCCUACGCGACCCAGCCAAUCGGCCUCAAGAGCAGGAGGAUUAUGGGAGGUGGAGAGGCUUGUGGUUGAGAGAGAGGCUUGUGGUUGAGAGAGAGGCUUGUGGGAAGCCGGUGGUGCCAGAUUGCGGCAACUUCAGGAGCCACUUGUCAAAAGAAACGAACUUUAUUUUUAGAACCACACACGCCAAACAAAACAGCUCCUCAGGAAAAACCCUCAGAGCCCAACUGCCAUCACCGGCUUCCCACAAGCCUCUCUCACCACCACAAGCCUCUCCACCUCCCACAAUCCUCCUGCUCUUGAGGCCGAUUGGCUGGGUCGUGUGGGCGGAGCCAAAAAAGUCCCCCAGUGAGCAGCUCCGUGGUCUGAAAGGGCAGGGAAACAGCCCAAUGAGCAUCACUGCAGAGGAGCCAAUCAGCUGGAUGUUGCUGAGGCCUCUGUGAGCCAAUCAUCAGCUGGCAGUCUGAAAGGGCGGGGAAACAGCCCAAUGAGCAUCACCACACAGGAGCCAAUCAGCUAGAUGUUGCUGGGGCCAUGUGAGCCAAUCAUCAGCUGGCAGUCUGAAAGUUUGCUGGGGCCCCUUCUGACUGUGGAGUUUUUAAGCAUUGCAAUGGGGAUUUCACCUGUGAAAAGCUAUAAGGCCUUUACUAUUAUAUGUUGUAUGUAUUGUGUUAUAUGUGCACACUUGCAUUUUGUGUUGUAUGUCUGUAUGUGCGUAUGUCCAUAUAUCAUAUAUUAGGAGUGCUCCUGAAAAAAUGGAUCCAAAUAUUUUUUUAUUAUUCACAUGAUUUAAAUGGUUUAAUUUAAAUUGGGUAAAGAGCUGUUGAGGAUUGUUUUAAAAUGUGAACAAAAAAGGAGGUUAACAGAUGUUUGUUUACUUUCACCUUUCCUUUUCAUUAUAUCUAAUUCUAUUCAGGAUACUAAAUUGUUUAGAAAAUUGCUUUCUCUUAGUGCCUGCUGGAAUGUUACAUAAUUUUUUUUUUAAGCCAUCACUGCCAGAAUUCCUAUCUUCAUCCCAGUGCCGGUGAAGACAAAGAUAAAACCAAACAACAGCUUCUGCGAUAGCUAUCACAACAAACUACAUAAACUGAUGCAUCAAUGAAUGGUGUAACUCAACAGGUGAUGCUCAAUCAAGGAGUUGAUUUACUUUGGGAGGAAAGGGACAUAUUAAUAGAUUGCUCUGCUUUGAACUACUUGCAAAACUUGCCUGGAUUGUGUAUCACUUGUAUGCAUUGUGUAUUAUCUGUCGGUGCAGCGAAUUGUGGUAGUGCCGGGGUAUCUUUGCUGAUGGUGUCAUCGAUGGUACAAUUUUUCCAAAAGGAGCUGUCAAUGGCUUAAUAUCCUGGCAUUUUGUAUCCUCCCCUUUCUGCUUAUAGCAGGUUGUUUAUGGUGUUUGUGUAAAAACCACUAUCCACAAGUAUGGCUAAAUGCUGGUCCGGUAGCCAAUAACGGGUAAAAUCCAAUUGCAAUGGUACCAACCUAAGACAGGAGGCUGACGCCUUGAGGCCAGCUCAUCCAAUGACGGGUAAGAACCAUAUGUAGUAUUGGACAACCUAAGACAGGCACGGUCCCUAAGCCACAUGCUUGUUGUUUAAUGAAACAGAAGGGGGGAGAUGUUGAGAACCGCAGCCGAGUCAAGAUGGUGCCUGGCAUUUUGCCAGAAGGAGCAGUUCCUGCUGCAUUGGGUGCCCGCUAUUUUUGAGCUCUCGUGGAGUUCCUAGAAAGUUUGUGUGGGUGGAGUUCGAGGGUUGAAUUCCGGUUGAGUGCUGGAAAAGUUCCCGAAGUUCUGGUUGGAGCUCUCGGGGAGUUCCUGAAGAGUUCGCGUGGGCAGCGUGUAGCAUGGGUUCUAAAAAUAAAGUUCGUUCUUGCUUGAAUCUGCAAGUGGCUCAUGAUUUGUGCCCAGCCAGACUGCGGCAAGUGAGGAACUCCUGAUAUUAGGAGGCAGAGCCACCCAACCUGGAGAGGUAGCCAUGUGUCCUUGUUGUUCAAAAGACGUAAUUUUUGUAAUAAACUCUUUAUAAUAAGACUGUGUUGUCCUAUGUUUACACACACACACACACACACACAAAUAAAUAAAUAAAUAAAUAAAUAUAUAUAUACCAUUUAAAACUGCUGUAUUUUUAAGUCAGUGAAAUCAUUCCCAAAACAUUGUCAGAACUUAGUGAAGCUCUUAAAACUCUGGCUCUGGUUUCUUCAUCUGUAAAAUAGAUAACCAUAGGCUUGGGCAAUCUCUAAGUUCAUUAACAUUAUAGAUGACCCUAUUUUACUUUUCCUAAACCCCAAACAUGAUAUUGGUUGAUAUUUUAAGCACAGUUGCUUUUCAGGUUGCAAGGGAAGGAGAAGAUAUUCCCUAAAUCUGUCUAGGAGCCACAGAAAUCAAACUGCUUUUCUGUUUCUAAGAUCUCCUAAUUCAGAUUAGAAUUCCACCUAAAAUUGUCUGUGACUACAAAAUGUCUUACCCUUUUUUAAGCAUCCUAAAAACAUACCUAUGGAACAUAGGAAAGAAGAAAAAACAAAAGAGAAGAAAGAAACAUUUCUUCCCUCUUUCCCCAAAGUACACAGGAAUCCAAGGAAACUAAUGAAGCAGGCUCCAUGGUAGAACUUUUAGUGUGUUAUUCUAACAGUUAU